UACGUAGGUGGCAAGCGUUAUCCGGAUUUAUUGGGUGUAAAGGGCGUGUAGGCGGGAGCGCAAGUCAGAUGUGAAAACUCAGGGCUCAACCCUGAGCCUGCAUUUAAAACUGUGUUUCUUGAGUGCUGGAGAGGCAAUCGGAAUUCCGUGUGUAGCGGUGAAAUGCGUAGAUAUACGGAGGAACACCAGUGGCGAAGGCGGAUUGCUGGACAGUAACUGACGCUGAGGCGCGAAAGCGUGGGGAGCAAACAGG
This 253-nucleotide ribosomal RNA is filed under the name uncultured bacterium. RNAcentral describes it as "partial 16S ribosomal RNA". It matches the Rfam family "Bacterial small subunit ribosomal RNA", at positions 524 to 776 of the family's 1533-position model. The record is from RNAcentral.